Molecule: ribosomal RNA, 1434 nt
Filed under: uncultured organism
Description: 16S ribosomal RNA
Rfam family: Bacterial small subunit ribosomal RNA
Source: RNAcentral
UGCUUAACACAUGCAAGUCGAACGGAAAGGCCCUGCUUUUGUGGGGUGCUCGAGUGGCGAACGGGUGAGUAACACGUGAGUAACCUGCCCUUGACUUUGGGAUAACUUCAGGAAACUGGGGCUAAUACCGGAUAGGAGCUCCUGCUGCAUGGUGGGGGUUGGAAAGUUUCGGCGGUUGGGGAUGGACUCGCGGCUUAUCAGCUUGUUGGUGGGGUAGUGGCUUACCAAGGCUUUGACGGGUAGCCGGCCUGAGAGGGUGACCGGCCACAUUGGGACUGAGAUACGGCCCAGACUCCUACGGGAGGCAGCAGUGGGGAAUAUUGCACAAUGGGCGGAAGCCUGAUGCAGCAACGCCGCGUGCGGGAUGACGGCCUUCGGGUUGUAAACCGCUUUCGCCUGUGACGAAGCGUGAGUGACGGUAAUGGGUAAAGAAGCACCGGCUAACUACGUGCCGGCAGCCGCGGUGAUACGUAGGGUGCGAGCGUUGUCCGGAUUUAUUGGGCGUAAAGGGCUCGUAGGUGGUUGAUCGCGUCGGAAGUGUAAUCUUGGGGCUUAACCCUGAGCGUGCUUUCGAUACGGGUUGACUUGAGGAAGGUAGGGGAGAAUGGAAUUCCUGGUGGAGCGGUGGAAUGCGCAGAUAUCAGGAGGAACACCAGUGGCGAAGGCGGUUCUCUGGGCCUUUCCUGACGCUGAGGAGCGAAAGCGUGGGGAGCGAACAGGCUUAGAUACCCUGGUAGUCCACGCUGUAAACGGUGGGUACUAGGUGUGGGGUCCAUUCCACGGGUUCCGUGCCGUAGCUAACGCUUUAAGUACCCCGCCUGGGGAGUACGGCCGCAAGGCUAAAACUCAAAGGAAUUGACGGGGCCCCGCACAAGCGGCGGAGCAUGCGGAUUAAUUCGAUGCAACGCGUAGAACCUUACCUGGGUUUGACAUGGAUCGGGAGCGCUCAGAGAUGGGUGUGCCUCUUUUGGGGUCGGUUCACAGGUGGUGCAUGGCUGUCGUCAGCUCGUGUCGUGAGAUGUUGGGUUAAGUCCCGCAACGAGCGCAACCCUUGUUCACUGUUGCCAGCACGUUAUGGUGGGGACUCAGUGGAGACCGCCGGGGUCAACUCGGAGGAAGGUGGGGAUGACGUCAAGUCAUCAUGCCCCUUAUGUCCAGGGCUUCACGCAUGCUACAAUGGCUGGUACAGAGAGUGGCGAGCCUGUGAGGGUGAGCGAAUCUCGGAAAGCCGGUCUCAGUUCGGAUUGGGGUCUGCAACUCGACCUCAUGAAGUCGGAGUCGCUAGUAAUCGCAGAUCAGCAACGCUGCGGUGAAUACGUUCCCGGGGCUUGUACACACCGCCCGUCAAGUCAUGAAAGUUGGUAACACCCGAAGCCGGUGGCCUAACCGUUGUGGGGGAGCCGUCGAAGGUGGGACUGGUGAUUAGGACUAAGU